CGGGAGGCAGAGCAACAGGGAUUGCCCCAGUAACGGCGAGUGAAGCGGCAACAGCUUCAAAUUUGAAAUUCUGGCCCCCCCGGGCCCGAGUUGUAAUUUGCAGAGGAUGCUUUUGGCGAGGCGCCGCCCGAGUUCCCUGGAACGGGACGCCACAGAGGGUGAGAGCCCCGUCUGGCUGGCCGCCGAGCCUCUGUAAAGCUCCUUCGACGAGUCGAGUAGUUUGGGAAUGCUGCUCAAAAUGGGAGGUAUAUGUCUUCUAAAGCUAAAUACUGGCCAGAGACCGAUAGCGCACAAGUAGAGUGAUCGAAAGAUGAAAAGCACCUUGAAAAGAGGGUUAAACAGUACGUGAAAUUGUUGAAAGGGAAGCGCUUGUGACCAGACUUGGGCGCGGAGGAUCAUCCGGGGUUCUCCCCGGUGCACUUCGCCGCGCCCAGGCCAGCAUCAGCUCGCCGCGGGGGAAAAAGGCUCCGGGAACGUGGCUCCCUCGGGAGUGUUAUAGCCCGGUGCACAAUACCCUGGGGCGGGCUGAGGACCGCGCAUCUCGCAAGGAUGCUGGCGUAAUGGUCACCAGCGACCCGUCUUGAAACACGGACCAAGGAGUCGUCUUCGUAUGCGAGUGUUCGGGUGUCAAACCCCUACGCGUAAUGAAAGUGAACGCAGGUGAGAGCUUCGGCGCAUCAUCGACCGAUCCUGAUGUUCUCGGACGGAUUUGAGUAAGAGCAUACGGGGCCGGACCCGAAAGAAGGUGAACUAUGCCUGUGUAGGGUGAAGCCAGAGGAAACUCUGGUGGAGGCUCGCAGCGGUUCUGACGUGCAAAUCGAUCGUCAAACAUGGGCAUGGGGGCGAAAGACUAAUCGAACCUUCUAGUAGCUGGUUUCCGCCGAGCCUCCCCCCCUCGGGUGCUAGACCCCCGAAAAA
Molecule: ribosomal RNA, 918 nt
Filed under: Trichoderma yui
Lineage: Eukaryota; Fungi; Ascomycota; Sordariomycetes; Hypocreales; Hypocreaceae
Description: partial large subunit ribosomal RNA
Rfam family: Eukaryotic large subunit ribosomal RNA
Source: RNAcentral